RNAcentral lists this transfer RNA (90 nucleotides) under Roseimicrobium sp. ORNL1. Its description in RNAcentral is "tRNA-Ser". It matches the Rfam family "tRNA". From Rfam's summary of the family: Transfer RNA (tRNA) molecules are approximately 80 nucleotides in length. Their secondary structure includes four short double-helical elements and three loops (D, anti-codon, and T loops). The record is from RNAcentral. Lineage: Bacteria; Pseudomonadati; Verrucomicrobiota; Verrucomicrobiia; Verrucomicrobiales; Verrucomicrobiaceae.
GGACAGGUGCCAGAGUGGUCGAACGGGCACGAUUGGAAAUCGUGUGUGCUAGAAAUAGUACCGAGGGUUCGAAUCCCUCCCUGUCCGCCA